AUGGAGCGCGGCCGCACAACUUCGAUGUCGGGGCAGGUGGGUUCAGGCGUUGAACGGCUCCACGGGAGCAGCAGUAUGCAGCACAUCCAGUCGGGCUCGGGCAGCGCCCUGGCGCCGGACGCACGCGCUGGCCUCCGGCAAGCUGGACAUGGUGAUGGAAGUGCACCCUAUCUUAAUAGGGUGAGCAUUGAUGAUUCCAGAAGGAGGGAAAAUGUCAACCCCGACAAUGAAGAUGACAUUCUGAUGGGGAAUGAUUCAGCUCCAAGAGAGACAAUUUGGAAAGUAGGAAAGCCUCUCAUCUUGGAAGGAAGGACAAUGGCAGGAAAAGGAAGAGGGUAG
RNAcentral lists this ribosomal RNA (339 nucleotides) under Triticum aestivum (bread wheat). RNAcentral's name for it is "partial small subunit ribosomal RNA". Lineage: Eukaryota; Viridiplantae; Streptophyta; Magnoliopsida; Poales; Poaceae. The record is from RNAcentral.